RNAcentral lists this small nucleolar RNA (213 nucleotides) under Microcebus murinus (gray mouse lemur). RNAcentral describes it as "Small nucleolar RNA U3 (ENSMICG00000033848.2)". It matches the Rfam family "Small nucleolar RNA U3". Rfam says of the family: Small nucleolar RNAs (snoRNAs) are involved in the processing and modification of rRNA in the nucleolus. The record is from Rfam by way of RNAcentral. Lineage: Eukaryota; Metazoa; Chordata; Mammalia; Primates; Cheirogaleidae.
AAGACUAUCCUUCAGGGAUCAUUUCUCUAGCUCAUUACUAGAGAAGUUUCUCUGAAGGUGUAGAGGACCAGAAACCACGGAGGGAGUGCAGUGUUCUCUCCUGGGCCUGAAGCCGGCGCUUGGUGUCGCUUUGCUGCAAGUGCCAUUUGCCACUGAUGAUUGCUCUUCUCUACCUCUGGGGGAGUAAGAGGGAGAGGAUGCAGACUGAGUAGG